Non-coding RNA from Paramarasmius palmivorus, 81 nucleotides. The record is from the annotation of a GenBank genome assembly. NCBI's taxonomy places the organism in Eukaryota, Fungi, Basidiomycota, Agaricomycetes, Agaricales, Marasmiaceae.
UCCGUUAUGGUGUAGCGGUGAACAUUAUCGCCUCUCAUUCAAACCCCGCGAUAGCCCCAGGUUCGAGUCCUUGUAACGGAA